Pseudomyrmex gracilis is the source of this 1304-nucleotide RNA transcript. It is a transcript of the gene named SLIT and NTRK-like protein 4, with no coding region annotated. The record is from RefSeq and is a predicted model, not a curated record. NCBI's taxonomy places the organism in Eukaryota, Metazoa, Arthropoda, Insecta, Hymenoptera, Formicidae. The transcript is spliced from 3 exons.
CUCUCUCUCUCUCUCUCUCUCUUUCUCUCUCCCUCUCUCUCUCUCUCUCUCUUUCUCUCGCUUCCGCUCUUUAUAGAUCGCCGAUAGUUGCUCCAUAUAGUCUCUCGUUAUUUGGAACAUCAAAUGCGUGAUUUGUUAAUUACAUUGCAUCAAUGUGCAAACCACGUCAUGUACACGUUACACUGGCUCAUGUUAAACUCCGUCAGUUUUUGUCCGCGGUAAAAUGCAGAUAACGCCGAUAAAAGUGGCCAAAGCUGAUAACAGAAUCGAUUUUUUUAGCUCGCCAGUGGUUGAUGAAACCGAUAAAAUGCUGGGGCAGUAAUCCGAUCGCGACUAGUCGAUUACAAUGCAAUUAAGAAGAUGCAUUGCAUCACUUAGUUUAUCACUUUACGAUUUAAAUUUAUGUCCGAGCGUUUGUCGUUUACGUGAUAUAUCUGUUUUUGUGACGUACUUGAACCAGGCGAGCUUUCUGCUGAUAUUGAUGCUGUGGGCGUGGUUUCAAUGACGAUGCUGUUGAAUCGCUUUCUGAACGUCCCUUGUCGGCCAUCGGAAUGCCAUAAAUGUCCAGCAAUAGUUGAUCCACCAGCGAGGAAGAGAGAACGAUCGGUGUGGGUACGAAAGAAUACCGCCGACACAUCAAACUGUGCGAAUUUACGAAGAGAAAAGAAAAGUUAUUAACUCGUUCAUUCUACCGUUAUCUCGACAAUAACUGCUUCUACUAUUCGCUUCCUGGUGCCGGCUUUGUUACGUGAGUUUCAUGAGUUUUCACGUGUAUGUGUGUUACGCUUUAAAUCUAGUGUCUAUUCAUCUAUAGCAUAUUUUGCCUCACUUACUGGGGCUUGUAUACCAGAAAAUAGAAAAAAGAAAAUUCAGUCAGGUCUCUCUCGUUUGGCAAGAACUGACUGAAAUUUUUAUAAAAUAAUUUAAAUAUUCUAAUAUGCAAUUAGCUGAUGUGUGCGCUACGUAAUCUCGAAUUUUAUCGUCAUAUAAGAUUGGGAAAUUUCUCGAGGAAGUUAGAGCGACUUUAUGAUCAACUUUGAAUAACUACAUGGUUCAACUUCUACGACUUUUACAUGGUGAUGUCGCAACGAUCUCCAGAGCAAGUAGAAACUCCGUUCAAACUAAAGUUCUUCUUCGUGUUGCCAUCUCGAGAACUCAAACUCCCGGAGUAUCGAUUAAUCUCGAGUUGCAGCGCAUUGUAGGAGCGUUUACCUUGGGCCUCUUGAUAGCCGCGUCAUGAUUGCCGGCAUUCCCGUAAUUAAACGCGAUUGACUCGUCCCCCGUUGAUUUUGAGCGCUUUUGCC